RNAcentral lists this ribosomal RNA (395 nucleotides) under uncultured bacterium. RNAcentral describes it as "partial 16S ribosomal RNA". It matches the Rfam family "Bacterial small subunit ribosomal RNA", at positions 338 to 730 of the family's 1533-position model. The record is from RNAcentral.
CCUACGGGAGGCUGCAGUGAGGAAUAUUGGUCAAUGGACGCAAGCCAGAACCAGCCAAGCCGCGUGCAGGAAGACGGCUCUGUGAAUUGUAAACUUCUUUUGUACGAGGGUAAACGCGGAUACUCGUACCUGGAUGAGAGUACCUGACGAAAAAGCAUCGGCUAACUCCGUGCCAGCAGCCGCGGUAAUACGGAGGAUUCAAGCGUUAUCCGGAUUUAUUGGGUUUAAAGGGUGCGUAGGCGGGCGGAUAAGUUAGAGGUGAAAUCCCGAGGCUCAACUUCGGACGUGCCUCUGAUACUGUUCGGCUGGAGAGGAGUUGAAGUAGGCGGAAUGUGCGGUGUAGCGGUGAAAUGCUUAGAGAUCGUACAGAACCCCGAUUGCGAAGGCAGCUUACC